This 254-nucleotide ribosomal RNA is filed under the name uncultured bacterium. Its description in RNAcentral is "partial 16S ribosomal RNA". It matches the Rfam family "Bacterial small subunit ribosomal RNA", at positions 524 to 776 of the family's 1533-position model. The record is from RNAcentral.
UACGAAGGGGGCUAGCGUUGUUCGGAAUUACUGGGCGUAAAGGGCGCGUAGGCGGUGUGUCAAGUCAGGCGUGAAAGCCCCGGGCUCAACCUGGGGAGGGUCACGCGAUACUGCUCGACUUGAAGGCAGGAGAGGGAAGUGGAAUUCCCGGUGUAGUGGUGAAAUGCGUAGAUAUCGGGAGGAACACCAGUGGCGAAGGCGACUUCCUGGCCUGUUCUUGACGCUGAGGCGCGAAAGCUAGGGUAGCAAACGGG